UGAUAUUUCUGUCUUGGAACCAGCCAGCCAUGGACUGACUGUCCUGGAACCAUGAGCCAAAUUAAACCUUUUAGGUUGCGGAUGUCGAGUGCUGUGUCCAGAAAUGGGAAAACUGACUGCUACAGUGGGAUGUUCACUGAGAGCAGGUGCUGCUGUGGCUAUGGCAGAUUUCACAACCAGUUCUCCUGCAGUGCCGCGUCCGACAAUCCAUUCCAAUUCUGACUCCAACCACCUGCAGUCUGCCUCAGUUCCUCAGCUCAAAGGUAGGGUCCCCACAGAGUGCCCUGACUUCAGAUGCCAGCUGCACUGGUGGUCCCCAGGCC
This 323-nucleotide long non-coding RNA is filed under the name Fukomys damarensis (Damara mole-rat). RNAcentral describes it as "lncRNA (ENSFDAG00000026476.1)". The record is from RNAcentral. Lineage: Eukaryota; Metazoa; Chordata; Mammalia; Rodentia; Bathyergidae.